UCUUCCCUCUGGCGGCGUGCCUAAUACAUGCAAGUCGAGCGAACAGACGAGGAGCUUGCUCCUCUGACGUUAGCGGCGGACGGGUGAGUAACACGUGGAUAACCUACCUAUAAGACUGGGAUAACUUCGGGAAACCGGAGCUAAUACCGGAUAAUAUAUUGAACCGCAUGGUUCAAUAGUGAAAGACGGUUUUGCUGUCACUUAUAGAUGGAUCCGCGCCGCAUUAGCUAGUUGGUAAGGUAACGGCUUACCAAGGCAACGAUGCGUAGCCGACCUGAGAGGGUGAUCGGCCACACUGGAACUGAGACACGGUCCAGACUCCUACGGGAGGCAGCAGUAGGGAAUCUUCCGCAAUGGGCGAAAGCUUGACGGAGCAGCGCCGCGUGAGUGAUGAAGGUCUUCGGAUCGUAAAACUCUGUUAUUAGGGAAGAACAAAUGUGUAAGUAACUAUGCACGUCUUGACGGUACCUAAUCAGAAAGCCACGGCUAACUACGUG
Molecule: ribosomal RNA, 497 nt
Filed under: uncultured bacterium
Lineage: Bacteria
Description: partial 16S ribosomal RNA
Rfam family: Bacterial small subunit ribosomal RNA
Source: RNAcentral